Molecule: ribosomal RNA, 120 nt
Filed under: Phascolarctos cinereus (koala)
Lineage: Eukaryota; Metazoa; Chordata; Mammalia; Diprotodontia; Phascolarctidae
Source: RNAcentral
GUCUAAAGUCAUACCUCUCUGGAUACAGCCAAUCUUGUGUGACUCUGGGAAUCUAAGCAGGGUUGGAUCUGGUUAAAUAUCAGAUGGGAUACCUGCUGCUAAUGCCAAGCCCUGUAGGCU